Molecule: microRNA, 24 nt
Filed under: Zea mays
Lineage: Eukaryota; Viridiplantae; Streptophyta; Magnoliopsida; Poales; Poaceae
Description: microRNA miR-3073
Source: RNAcentral
AUAGAACCGCUAGUAGAAAAUGUU